Molecule: ribosomal RNA, 540 nt
Filed under: Salmonella enterica subsp. enterica serovar Derby
Lineage: Bacteria; Pseudomonadati; Pseudomonadota; Gammaproteobacteria; Enterobacterales; Enterobacteriaceae
Also listed under: 4 other names
Description: bacterial SSU rRNA
Rfam family: Bacterial small subunit ribosomal RNA
Source: RNAcentral
GAACUUUCCAGAGAUGGACUGGUGCCUUCGGGAACUGUGAGACAGGUGCUGCAUGGCUGUCGUCAGCUCGUGUUGUGAAAUGUUGGGUUAAGUCCCGCAACGAGCGCAACCCUUAUCCUUUGUUGCCAGCGAUUAGGUCGGGAACUCAAAGGAGACUGCCAGUGAUAAACUGGAGGAAGGUGGGGAUGACGUCAAGUCAUCAUGGCCCUUACGACCAGGGCUACACACGUGCUACAAUGGCGCAUACAAAGAGAAGCGACCUCGCGAGAGCAAGCGGACCUCAUAAAGUGCGUCGUAGUCCGGAUUGGAGUCUGCAACUCGACUCCAUGAAGUCGGAAUCGCUAGUAAUCGUGGAUCAGAAUGCCACGGUGAAUACGUUCCCGGGCCUUGUACACACCGCCCGUCACACCAUGGGAGUGGGUUGCAAAAGAAGUAGGUAGCUUAACCUUCGGGAGGGCGCUUACCACUUUGUGAUUCAUGACUGGGGUGAAGUCGUAACAAGGUAACCGUAGGGGAACCUGCGGUUGGAUCACCUCCUUA